Molecule: long non-coding RNA, 237 nt
Organism: Ostrea edulis (European flat oyster)
Lineage: Eukaryota; Metazoa; Mollusca; Bivalvia; Ostreida; Ostreidae
Exons: 2
Source: RefSeq, a predicted model, not a curated record
GUUGUCUUUCUUUGUACGUUAUAGUCAAGGCAUGUAUUUUCCGGACUGAGUUCGUUGCCUAUUUUGACUUUUAGUAACUGUUUCCGCCCAACUGAAGAAUCACCGCAUAGCGGUUUUAGUAAAUAGAGGUGCCUUUUCACCAUUUUUGCACAACUUAGCCCCGCAUAGAUUUCUUACUACAUGUGGAUUUCAUAUUAGUACAUAUGACAAUAAAGUGAAAGUGUUCAUAACGAAAAA